ACUAAAGGGUACCGUAGCCACACCUGAGGUUUAAAAGAGCUGUGUUGGAUGGUAGGAGACCUUGCUGAGAUCAAGCUACCUCCUUCAACUGACAAUGACUGUGCGACACUUGGACUCCCAGGAAAAGCCAUCUAGCACAGAUGGGGACAAAGAAAGGAAAAUAAAUGCUACAGUCAGGCUUAUAAAUCUCUUCUGAGACAGAUACUGAUAUAGCUCUACCAUGGCUCUGCUCAAAGAAAGAAGACCCUUUUUGAACCCUGAUAUUUCGGGCAUAUUGUGCAUCCUAUACCUGCUCCCAGCUCUUCUCCAUGGUCAAGGAAAUGGAUCCUUCUCUUUGAUUGUUCUCUGCUCUGACCACAGGUUUACAUGGAGAUUAUCAAUCAAUGUGAUCCAUCAGAGAUUGUGCUAUUGCUUUAAUGAUGAAUACCACAGAGAUGCUUAUAAGUUUGUCUUGUGUUGUAUUUAGUUCAACUGGGGCAUGAUGCCACCAGGGUCUUUGAGUCAUUUUAUGACAUUUCCUUUGCUGUGUUCCCUUUGAAGGGGCUUUUUUAAUAUCCUAUAUUUAAAAAACCUCCUAAAAUAUAAUAAGAAAUAUAAUAAAAUUAUUGUUAUUAAACUGUGCA
RNAcentral lists this long non-coding RNA (623 nucleotides) under Anser cygnoides (Swan goose). RNAcentral describes it as "lncRNA (ENSACDG00005001247.1)". Lineage: Eukaryota; Metazoa; Chordata; Aves; Anseriformes; Anatidae. The record is from RNAcentral.